RNAcentral lists this long non-coding RNA (1574 nucleotides) under Triticum aestivum (bread wheat). RNAcentral's name for it is "long non-coding RNA (TAES_LNC025744)". The record is from RNAcentral. Lineage: Eukaryota; Viridiplantae; Streptophyta; Magnoliopsida; Poales; Poaceae.
UUUACACAUCCCAUGUAUUGAAUAAGAAAGAGGUACAGAGUUGGCUUACAAUCGCCACUUCACACAAUACAUAGAUAUAACAUUACAUCAACCAGAUACAAUCAAGGUCCGACUACGGAACCAAAAUAAAAGAAGACUACCCCUAAUGCAAAAGAUCCCCGAUCGCCCCGACUGGGCUCCACUACUGAUCAACUAAAACGAAAUAACACGACGAACAAGAUCUUCAUCGAGCUCCUCCUUGAGCUCGGUUGAGUCACCUGCACGGUAUCGUCAGCACCUGCAAACUGGUUUUGGAAGUAACUGUGAGCCACGAGGACUCAGCAAUCUCACACCCGCGAGAUCAAGACUAUUUAAGCUUAUGGGUAGGAAAAGGUAGUGAGGUGGAGUUGUAGCAAGCACUAGCAUAUAUGGUGGCUAACUUACGCAAAUGAGAGCGAGAAGAGGAGCAAAGCACGGUCGUGAACUAGAAGUGAUCAAGAAGUGAUCCUGAAACUACUUACCUUCAAGCAUAACUCCAACGCCGUGUUCACUUCCCGGACUCCGCCGAGAAGAGACCAUCACGGCUACACACGUGGUUGAUGCAUUUUAAUUAAGUUAAGUUUCAAGUUCUCUACAACUAAAUAUUAACAAAUUCCCAUGCCCAUAACCGCGGGCACGGCUUUUGAAAGUUCAAAACCCUGCAGGGGUGUCCCAACUUAGCCCAUCACAAGCUCUCACGGUCAAUGAAGGAUAUUCCGUCUCCCAGGAAGACCCGAUCAGACUCGAAAUCACGGUUACAAGACAUUUCGACAAUGGUAAAACAAGAACAGCAAAGCCGCCCGAAUGUGCCGACAAAUCCCGAUAGGAGCUGCACAUAUCUCGUUCUCAGGGCACACCGGAUGAGCAAUCCGUACAACUAAAACCAACCCUCAAGUUUCCCCGAGGCGGCGCUGCAAGGGGCUCUAGUUUGGACCAACACUCAGAGGAGCACUGGCCCUGGGGGUUAAAAUAAAGAUGACCCUCGGGGGCGCGACUCCCAGGGGAAAAGUAGGUGGUGGUGAGGCAACAGGUAAAACCAAGGUUGGGCCUUGCUGGAGGAGUUUUAUUCAAAGCGAACUGUCAAGGGGUUCCCAUUAUAACCCAACCGCGUAAGGAACGCAAAAUCAAGGAACAUAACACCGGUAUGACGGAAACUAGGGCGGCAAGAGUGGAACAAAACACCAGGCAUAAGGCCGAGCCUUCCACCCUUUACCAAGUAUAUAGAUGCAUUAAUUAAACAAUGUAUAUAUAGUGAUAUCCCAACAAUAUCCAUGUUCCAAACAUGGAAGAAACUUAAUCUUCACCUGCAACUAGCAACGCUAUAAGAGGGGCUGAGCAAAGCGGUAACAUAGCCAAACAACGGUUUGCUAGGAAAGGUGGGUUAGGGGCUUGACAUGGCAAUAUGGGAGGCAUGAUAUAGCAAGUGGUAGGUAUCGCGGCAUAGCAAAUAGAGCGAGCAACUAGCAAGCAAAGAUAGAUGUUAUUUCGAGGGUAUGGUCAUCUUGCCUGAGGUCCCGCAAGGAAGAAGAACGGGUCCAUGAAGAAGACAAACGGAC